This 459-nucleotide ribosomal RNA is filed under the name uncultured bacterium. RNAcentral describes it as "partial 16S ribosomal RNA". It matches the Rfam family "Bacterial small subunit ribosomal RNA", at positions 338 to 795 of the family's 1533-position model. The record is from RNAcentral.
CCUACGGGAGGCAGCAGUGAGGAAUAUUGGUCAAUGGCCGGAAGGCUGAACCAGCCAAGCCGCGUGAGGGAGGAAGGCGCAGAGCGUCGCAGACCUCUUUUGCCGGGGGACAAAAGGCCGGACUCGUCCGGUCCUGAGGGUACCCGGAGAACAAGCAUCGGCUAACUCGGUGCCAGCCGCCGCGGUACUACGGAGGAUGCGAGCGUUAUCCGGAUUUAUUGGGUUUAAAGGGUGGGCAGGCGGGCCUUUACGCCGGCGGUGAAAUCGCGGUGCUCAACCCCGCCGAGCCGUCGGAACUGGGGGCCUUGAGUGCGGCGGAGGCAUGCGGAAUGCGCGGUGUAGCGGUGAAAUGCAUAGAUAUCGCGCAGAACCCCGAUUGCGAAGGCAGCGUGCCGUGCCGCCACUGACGCUGAGGCACGAAAGCGCGGGGAUCGAACAGGAUUAGAUACCCGGGUAGUC